Molecule: ribosomal RNA, 497 nt
Filed under: uncultured bacterium
Lineage: Bacteria
Description: partial 16S ribosomal RNA
Rfam family: Bacterial small subunit ribosomal RNA
Source: RNAcentral
GACGAACGCUGGCGGCGUGCCUAAUACAUGCAAGUAGAACGCUGAAACUUGGUGCUUGCACCGAGCGGAUGAGUUGCGAACGGGUGAGUAACGCGUAGGUAACCUGCCUGGUAGCGGGGGAUAACUAUUGGAAACGAUAGCUAAUACCGCAUAAGAGUAGAUGUUGCAUGACAUUUGCUUAAAAGGUGCAAUUGCACCACUACCAGAUGGACCUGCGUUGUAUUAGCUAGUUGGUGGGGUAACGGCUCACCAAGGCGACGAUACAUAGCCGACCUGAGAGGGUGAUCGGCCACACUGGGACUGAGACACGGCCCAGACUCCUACGGGAGGCAGCAGUAGGGAAUCUUCGGCAAUGGACGGAAGUCUGACCGAGCAACGCCGCGUGAGUGAAGAAGGUUUUCGGAUCGUAAAGCUCUGUUGUAAGAGAAGAACGAGUGUGAGAGUGGAAAGUUCACACUGUGACGGUAUCUUACCAGAAAGGGGCGGCUAACUACGUG